Non-coding RNA from Elaeis guineensis (African oil palm), 1029 nucleotides. The record is from RefSeq and is a predicted model, not a curated record. Lineage: Eukaryota; Viridiplantae; Streptophyta; Magnoliopsida; Arecales; Arecaceae.
AAUAGGGUCGAAAUUUUCGGACUACAAUGAUGAGGGCAAAGAUGAGCUUCUCUAGCAUGGUAUACCUGAUCUCUGCAUCGUGGAGAAUUUUACUGAUAUAAUAGAUUGGCUUCUGAAUCUUGUCAGAUUUUCAAACCAGUACGGCACUUAUGGCAACUGGAGAGAUCGCCAGGUACAAAUAAAGUUCUUCAUCAAGCUUUGACCUGUUGAGGAGUGGUGGAGAGCUGAGAACUUGGAAGAAAGAAAGGUAAUGCUCGAUUGAUUUGGAGAUGAAUCGAUUCAAUGCUGCCACUCAGUCGAAAAUUGAAAGUUCAUGCUAAUCAGGAUCCAAAUUGAUACAGAACCAAAGCAAAACUCAAGUACUAAGAGGCUAAGAGCAACCACCUGAACGGCUAAGCAAAUAAGGAAAUAAAUUCAAGGGCUUAAAAGUGAUGCUCCACUCAACGAUUGAGAUUCAUGGCACCACUUCAGAAAACUCUAGAGAUAUGAGGCGGCACACUAAGAUCUAAGGGAUAGGAAGCAAUUUCUUUUAAAUCAAUGGCCACCAUUCAUGCACCAUAAGAGGAGUCCACUUCACAAAACCCUAGUGCCCUCAUAUUUUAGCAUGCCUCUCACUUUUCAUGCCCCAACUCUAGCACACCUCCUUUUCUUCUGCACCAUCCCGUGCCCCCCUUUCUCUCCUAAAAUGUCCCUUGCUUCCAUAUCAAAUCUCAACCCUCCAUCACUUAGGCGACUCCCAUAUCCCCAUAAAAACCCGAGCCACCCUCAUCUCCAUGCCCAAGCCCUAGGAGCUACUGCCCUAGACUCUCAUCCCUCUCUCUCCAAUCUUAUAUCCUUCUUUCAUCUAUCCAUAGCCUCUACUUCAAUGUUUUAACAAGAAGGAAGAUGGAGGGAAUAAUGGCAAGCAAAAUCAACAUCAUACGCGGCUAGAGGUCUAGUCUUCAAGGGAGCAAAUGAAGUUUUUAAUUUACAGUCUUAUAUUUUUAUCUUGAAUAUGUUUAUGUAUUUAUCUUCAAUGCAAUUAGUGAU